Syzygium oleosum is the source of this 3731-nucleotide long non-coding RNA. RefSeq lists it as uncharacterized. Lineage: Eukaryota; Viridiplantae; Streptophyta; Magnoliopsida; Myrtales; Myrtaceae. The transcript has 2 exons. The record is from RefSeq and is a predicted model, not a curated record.
UAAUAAUCAAGAAGAACUAAAGAGUAAAGACACAGCGAAGCAGACGUGCCUCUCUGGGCUUCCGAGUCUGAGGCGACGAUCUCUCCGGGGACGCCGAGAAACGCCGCGCAUUGCUCGUCAUCCGCCACCGCCCGCCCUCCGGACUCGUCGGCGAUCAUCAAACUCCGUCGCAUCAUUCGCUUCGAGGCGUCGCGGCGCAGGGAGCUGGCGGUUCCCGUCGUUCGGGUCUCAUUCUUUCCUCGUUUCUUACUUACUUUUGCUUCUGUAGGGGGUUGCGAUUGGUUGACGUUUCCGGCGAGAUGUUUCGCUCGCCGUUCUCUGCUGCUUACUCUAGCCACCUUGGGAAUGUGAUUUAGGGAGCGGUCUUUCUGGGUUGAGCUUAGCGAAGCGCUGUUUGUUGCUCUUUUGGAGUUUGGGGUAUCUGAUGGAGUAGCGUCGUGUGAAAUUUAGUUGUAGAAGUCGAGGGACUGGACAAGCGGGGGUUGCAGAAACUUGGCAUUAAGGGGUUCUGAGGUAAACUCGAUAUCAGGAUUGUGGUUGAAUUUUCACAGGCUCUUAAUAUGUAUGACCGCUGAAAAUGCGCCGACCGCCAACCGGCUAGGGGUGAGUUAGGGGCCCUCCAGCCCCCCCUACAGGUCCAUCACCGGACCAUAGUAGAAAAUUUUCUCCCGGACAGAGGGUACGAUGUAGAUUUAUAGAAAAUAUUACCCAUGGUUAGAUAUCAUGCGACCCUUCCUUCGCUUGAUCUUUGAAUUUUGCUUCCGUUUCAUGGGGUGUGGUAGAUGAGACAUUCUUUACGCUCAUUGGAACUGGAGACUUUGUUGCUUGAAAAAUAGUAGUUUUGACGAUACGGGCAAUAGUCCAGUCAUUUGAUGUAUUGCUGGGAAUGGUUCGUAUCUGAAAGUUGAAUGGCAUUGGGAAUAAAUGGUCAUUUUGGUAUCAGGCAAUUCCAGGAGGUGGAGGUAGCCAUCUCGAACUGCCAAUUCCUUAGGCGGCAAAAAUCCCUUAGGCAUUGAGUCAUCAGUCAUGACUUUCUGAGGAUCAUUAGGCGGUGAAAAUCCCUUAGGCAUUGACUCAUCAGUCCUGACUUUCCGAGGAUCAUUGAUCUUGGUGUAAAACUAAAGUAGGUUAGGCCUGAGAAUUCUUACUCGUGCGUUAGAUAAGAAGCCUCAAGUUUGACCAAGGAGUCACCUACUAACUAUGUAGGAAGCAGGAAUUCGAUCAAAUCAAUAUACAAAACGAACAUUCUUGUUCUUCCUUACUUCUGGUUAAGAUGGCCAUGUGUAAGGAUGUGUCCCUUGGAUUCUGUUGGAAAUGAGGAUGCUCAUCUACUUUUCAGGUUUUUUUUCUUGUUGCGUGUUGCUGACUGGUUGCACUUUUGCCUGGUGAUGUUGCUUCCAGGUUGCCAUUUUGAAGGAGGAUCUUUUCUGAAUUUUACUUUGGAUUGUUUCAGUCUCUUCCUUUGUCCUUGAUCCUUUUGUCGCUAUAUUCCACACUAUGUUAAACCUUUGGUCAGGAAGCUAGAAUUGGCAAUGUAGGAGUUGUUCAUGGACCUUAUGAUGCAACUUUCUGUUUCACGACUUGCGUUGAGCUGAAGGUUGAUCAAUCUAACGUUUGAGAGGGAGGUUAGAAAAUCUUAGCCUGUCACUAUCAUCUUGGAUUAGAUAAGUAGAACAUGGCAUGGAAGUAAGUGCAAGAAAGAGCAUCCAGCAGAAAAACACACAUCAAGAAACAGAGAGCAAUAGGGCAAUCAGUUCUUGAACCAGGGAUGGAAUUUAUUUUUGAAACCGGUUUAUAUUGGUCAGUUAUUUGACAUGUAUGUUCUGCGAGUACCGUGACUAAUUUCCACAGAGAGAAAGUGUGCAGCACAAGGUGUAACAAUUGUCAAUCAAAAAAAUUCUUAUUCGUUCUAUGAGCUUUAAAUUUUUUUUGCAGCACAACAUUAAUUUAGCUUCCAUCAUUAUAACAUUGAUACUAUUGCUGAUGGUGACGUCUGUGACUUCAAAUGCAAUGCAUGCUCAUGGGCAUCGCAUUCUUAAUACAUGCGACAAGGACAUUGAUGUAUCGUGGGGGAUGUCGGCAGAGGUUGUCACAUCUCCAUCUUACAUUACAUCGUUGGAAAUUUGUUCAUAACGUGGUAACCACCACUACAUAGUUCUUAGUUGGAUUGGGGACUGUUGAAAGUUUUUCAUGGCUACUCUGUUGUGAGGCAGGAAAUUGUUUUAUCCCCGUGGUGGUUUCCACCAAUGGAGCAUCGCUUGUGAGAUUGGCAAUGCCUCUCUGGAUGGUAGAGCUGCUUCAAGCUGGACAAGAUGCUUUUCUGGAGAUACUAUUGCCUCAGGGAAUAGGACUGGGAAUUUUUUAAAGAAGGGUACCUCGGAGACUAUUGGAUUGUCUCAGGGGCACUUAUUACUUAGCGUGCUUAACAUUGGAUUCUCCGGAGCUACGAUUUGUUCUCACAUUUCUUGCUCUUACUGUGUUAUCAGUCAUAGUUCAAACCAGGUUCUGACUAGCUGUUUAGUUCAAAAUCUAUGCCUGUUAGCUAUCAUGUGGCAGUACACCUGUUUUUUUUAUCAUGAAAGUGAUAGCUGCCUUUUACAUGGCUUGGCUCAAUGACUGGAAAACCUGUAAGUGGUCAUUCUUUGGAGGUUUAACGCCUCCUACCUAACGGCAUAGAUCUCUCAAGGCCUCUAUUCGAAUGAUUAACCCAAUCUUGAAGGCUAUAUAUGAGUUAACGAGAGAAAGAGCACUGAAAUGAUGAAAAUAUUCUGAUAACUGUAUGAAUGUAGGACUUUCCAUUGUUGAAUGAAGAAGAAAUUCCAAUUCCCCAUGUCUUCUCCCCCUCUUGAUUGCUAUAUAUUCGUGGGUGAAAACAGUGAUCCAACGCAACUGUGCACUGAAACGAUGCUAGUUGUGGAACUUUCAUUUACCUUAAUUGUAUAUUUUCAUGUCGAAGUUGAUGCGAGACAUAUGCUGGACCCUUCUCACAAAAUUCGCGAAGCUGCCAGGGCGGUGGCCCCGCACUAACAUGUGAUUAAUCCGCAGAUGGAGGAAUAUGUAGCCUAGAUUUUGAGUAUGAUAUCAGCAGUCGCGUUCUUGCCUCACAGCUCUCUUGUGACGAUGAUUAUUCAUCCGGGUCAUUAACAUGCUUUAAAUGCAAAGGAUUUUGUCCCAUCUCAUCUGCUCCUGUCGGUGAUUCAAUAUGGAUAAUUUGAAGGGACUUAAUAACGAACUAGUGCGUUUUAAGCCGCAAAUUUUGUUUGGAGCCCCCAUCUAUCUUGAAUGCAUCAUAUUGAAGGGGUCCUGGUCUCUGAGGAAUGGAACGGUUCAGUAUCAGAAGCAGAUGGUCUUUUAUGGCAGAGUACAGCGCGUGGGCCCGAAUUAUAUAGCUCAUGCGGAUGGUUAUACUGGGCCAAAAGGGAGGCCCUCAUCGCUAAUCAAUUUGGGAACAGAAGAGAGAAAGGGACUUGAAGAAGGUAUUGACUCCCUGGUGAUGUCAUAUAUUUCCAGGACCAGUGUGACUCAAUCAUUGUAUUCAUGCUCUCUUUCUUCAAUGUCUGUCCUUGUCUCCCUCCCUGUGUAAGCUGUGGCUACAUCCACACUGUGCACGAGAGGUUCAUUGUGUCCAUUCUGUACUUGGGUGCCUAGAAUCCUCUAUUUCAUUAAUUGGCUUUAGGACUUCGGCUUCUUUUGCUCGGGAAAUAUCUACAAAUUGAGGGCCUUGUUUUUUC